UGGGAACAUACCCUUCGGUUCGGAACAACUCAGGGAAACUUGAGCUAAUACCGGAUACGCCCUUACGGGGAAAGGUUUACUGCCGAAGGAUCGGCCCGCGUCUGAUUAGCUAGUUGGUGAGGUAACGGCUCACCAAGGCGACGAUCAGUAGCCGACCUGAGAGGGUGAUCGGCCACAUUGGAACUGAGACACGGUCCAAACUCCUACGGGAGGCAG
This 216-nucleotide ribosomal RNA is filed under the name uncultured bacterium. Its description in RNAcentral is "partial 16S ribosomal RNA". It matches the Rfam family "Bacterial small subunit ribosomal RNA", at positions 118 to 351 of the family's 1533-position model. The record is from RNAcentral.